CAUUUAAAAAAUGUUAUACUAAAAUUGGAACAAUACAAAGAAGAUUAGCAUGGCCCCUGUGCAAAAACAAAACAACCCGUGUCUUCUAAUUCU
Molecule: small nuclear RNA, 93 nt
Filed under: Suricata suricatta (meerkat)
Lineage: Eukaryota; Metazoa; Chordata; Mammalia; Carnivora; Herpestidae
Source: RNAcentral